Molecule: ribosomal RNA, 253 nt
Filed under: uncultured bacterium
Lineage: Bacteria
Description: partial 16S ribosomal RNA
Rfam family: Bacterial small subunit ribosomal RNA
Source: RNAcentral
UACGGAGGGUGCAAGCAUUGAUCGGAAUUACUGGGCGUAAAGGGCGCGUAGGCGGUUUAGAAAGUCAGAUGUGAAAUUCCGGGGCUCAACCCCGGAGCUGCAUUUGAAACUCCUAAGCUAGAGUUCAGUUAGGGUAAACGGAAUUCCACGUGUAGCGGUGAAAUGCGUAGAUAUGUGGAAGAACACCGGUGGUGAAAACGGUUUACUGGGCUGAUACUGACGCUGAGGCGCGAAAGCAUGGGGAGCAAACAGG